Oncorhynchus keta (chum salmon) is the source of this 706-nucleotide long non-coding RNA. RefSeq lists it as uncharacterized. The record is from RefSeq and is a predicted model, not a curated record. Lineage: Eukaryota; Metazoa; Chordata; Actinopteri; Salmoniformes; Salmonidae. The transcript has 4 exons.
ACGCUAUAUGUAUGACUCCCUGAUCAAAGGUCACUUUAUAGACGCUAUAUGUAUGACUCCCUGAUCAAAGGUCACUUUAUAGAAGCUAUAUGUACGACUCCCUGAUCAAAGGUCACUUUAUAGAAGCUAUAUGUACGACUCCCUGAUCAAAGGUCACUUUAUAGAAGCUAUAUGUACGACUCCCUGAUCAAAGGUCACUUUAUAGAAGCUAUAUGUACGACUCCCUGAUCAAAGGUCACUUUAUAGAAGCUAUAUGUACGACUCCCUGAUCAAAGGUCACUUUAUAGACGCUAUAUGUACGACUCCCUGAUCAAAGGUCACUUUAUAGACGCUAUAUGUAUGACUCCCUGAUCAAAGGUCACUUUAUAGAAGCUAUAUGUAUGACUCCCUGAUCAAAGGUCACUUUAUAGACGCUAUAUGUAUGACUCCCUGAUCAAAGGUCACUUUAUAGACGCUAUAUGUAUGACUCCCUGAUCAAAGGUCACUUUAUAGAAGCUAUAUGUAUGACUCCCUGAUCAAAGGUCACUUUAUAGAAGCUAUAUGUACGACUCCCUGAUCAAAGGUCACUUUAUAGAAGCUAUAUGUACGACUCCCUGAUCAAAGGUCACUUUAUAGAAGCUAUAUGUACGACUCCCUGAUCAAAGGUCACUUUAUAGAAGCUAUAUGUACGACUCCCUGAUCAAAGGUCACUUUAUAGAAGCUAUAU